Non-coding RNA from Brachypodium distachyon (stiff brome), 136 nucleotides. Lineage: Eukaryota; Viridiplantae; Streptophyta; Magnoliopsida; Poales; Poaceae. The record is from Rfam.
UUGAUACUCCCUUCCUCCAACAAAGGAUGUCUCAACUUUAACUAAACUUGAAUAGAUCUAUACACUAAGUCAUAUCUAUAUACAUCCAAAUUUUAACAAACCUGAGACAUCUUUUAUUGGACGGAGGGAGUACAUU